Molecule: unclassified non-coding RNA, 861 nt
Filed under: Hevea brasiliensis (rubber tree)
Lineage: Eukaryota; Viridiplantae; Streptophyta; Magnoliopsida; Malpighiales; Euphorbiaceae
Source: RNAcentral
GCAAAUGAAAGAAGCUCGAGAAGUAUGUUCGGUGGGUAGGAAUCAAAUCUUCUAGUCCUACUAAAGGAAUCUACAGCUCUCAUUCCAUCGACAGAUAUGCCAAUGUGUGUAAAAUCAAUUGUUUCCUUCUCAGACUCAAUGAAAUCACCAUACAACAUUGAUUUUAAUGGAGCAGAGAGAGCUGCAAUUCUACCUCGAAUACAGUUGACCUCCUGAUUUUGUAUGCAGAAGUGAACUAUGCCCCCAUCGUUUUCUGAGGUGAGGAAAUUAUUGGCAUCUGAGAUCUGAUUAGGUGGUGGUUGGAGGGGCCCAUGAGAUUGGCAAUGAUCAAAAACUGAUUUGGGAUCAUAGCCGUGUAGCAAAGCAGUUUUGGGGCAUUCAAGUACUCUUCCAAUACAAUCGAAAGGUGAUGAUCCUACCAAUUCAUCCUCUCUCCUCUCAAACCUCAACCAAGCAGACAACACGACCUUGGAAUGGACGUCAACAGCAUGUUGACGAGCAGAUUGAAGACACCUACGUAGCAAUUUUGGAUCACCAAGGGUGUACAACAGAGCAUAUUGUUCUAAAUGAAGCAAAGAUUUAUCGAAAUCUUGUGUCAUCUGAAGUUUGCGGUAAAGGUGAGCUAAGGAUUGAACGAAAUCAAGAGAUUUGAGAGAAAGGUCAAGUGGGGGCUCAAAAGAAUGUGUUUUUGGAAGGCCAUAGGGAAGAAAAGGAGAUUCAGACAAAAUGGAGUCGAUUGUAGGGUAUUGGAGCUUGGAAGAAGUUGGGGAAAUAGUAGGAAAAGGGUUAGCGUUGUAAGCAUGGACUUGAGUAGUCUUACAACGAUCUUUCAGUUUGAAACCACGCAUAGUGACUAUGAGC